This 506-nucleotide ribosomal RNA is filed under the name uncultured bacterium. RNAcentral's name for it is "partial 16S ribosomal RNA". It matches the Rfam family "Bacterial small subunit ribosomal RNA", at positions 29 to 523 of the family's 1533-position model. The record is from RNAcentral.
AGUGAACGCUGGCGGUAGGCCUAACACAUGCAAGUCGAACGGCAGCACAGAGGAGCUUGCUCCUUGGGUGGCGAGUGGCGGACGGGUGAGGAAUACAUCGGAAUCUACUCUGUAGUGGGGGAUAACGUAGGGAAACUUACGCUAAUACCGCAUACGACCUACGGGUGAAAGCAGGGGACCUUCGGGCCUGGCGCGGUUGAAUGAGCCGAUGUCGGAUUAGCUAGUUGGCGGGGUAGAGGCCCACCAAGGCGACGAUGCGUAGCUGGUCUGAGAGGAUGAUCAGCCACACUGGAACUGAGACACGGUCCAGACUCCUACGGGAGGCAGCAGUGGGGAAUAUUGGACAAUGGGCGCAAGCCUGAUCCAGCCAUACCGCGUGGGUGAAGAAGGCCUUCGGGUUGUAAAGCCCUUUUGUUGGGAAAGAAAUCCAGCUGGCUAAUACCCGGUUGGGAUGACGGUACCCAAAGAAUAAGCACCGGCUAACUUCGUGCCAGCCGCCGCAGUAA